RNAcentral lists this ribosomal RNA (273 nucleotides) under uncultured bacterium. RNAcentral's name for it is "partial 16S ribosomal RNA". It matches the Rfam family "Bacterial small subunit ribosomal RNA", at positions 524 to 796 of the family's 1533-position model. The record is from RNAcentral.
UACGAAGGGUGCAAGCGUUACUCGGAAUUACUGGGCGUAAAGCGUGCGUAGGCGGUUUGUUAAGUCUGCCGUGAAAGCCCCGGGCUCAACCUGGGAAUUGCGGUGGAUACUGGCAGGCUAGAGUACGGUAGAGGAUGGUGGAAUUCCCGGUGUAGCAGUGAAAUGCGUAGAGAUCGGGAGGAACAUCUAUGGCGAAGGCAGCCAUCUGGACCAGUACUGACGCUGAGGCACGAAAGCGUGGGGAGCAAACAGGAUUAGAAACCCCAGUAGUCC